CAGUCGCCACGGUAAUACGAGGGGGGCUAGCGUUGUUCGGAUUUACUGGGCGUAAAGGGCGCGUAGGCGGACUGAUAAGUCAGGGGUGAAAUCCCAAGGCUCAACCUUGGAACUGCCUUUGAUACUGUUUGUCUUGAGUUCGAGAGAGGUAAGUGGAACUGCGAGUGUAGAGGUGAAAUUCGUAGAUAUUCGCAAGAACACCAGUGGCGAAGGCGGCUUACUGGCUCGAAACUGACGCUGAGGCGCGAAAGCGUGGGGAGCAAACAGGAUUAGAUACCCCCGUAGUCCCUGUCUCUUAUAC
RNAcentral lists this ribosomal RNA (301 nucleotides) under uncultured bacterium. RNAcentral's name for it is "partial 16S ribosomal RNA". It matches the Rfam family "Bacterial small subunit ribosomal RNA", at positions 509 to 807 of the family's 1533-position model. The record is from RNAcentral.